UUGCCUCUUUGCACAGGGGAGACAGACGAUGAGCAUCGCUGGGCGUGGGGUGGGAGGAGAGUGCCACCAGCGCCCCACUCCACCGUCAGUCCGUGGGGCGUGGGGCAGUGUGGGAAGGAGGACUAGGCAGUGGGAAGGCCUUGUGAUUCCUUGAGACAGGCUGGACGCUUUUACGUGAAACUUCCUGAUUUUCAAAUGUUGGCAACUGAUCAGACAGGGUGCAGUGGCCGACGUUGUCUGAACGUUGAGGAAGAGGAAGAAGAAAAAAAGGGUUCGUUGGAAAGCUCUUUGCUGGGCACCUAAUACAUUUUCUGAAUGCUCAUCCUGUGACGGGCCGGAAACAUUUAGCGGGAACUUUUGGGAAUGUCAGCGUCCUGGCAGGUGUAAGAGGCAUAUGGUGGGCCCCUGCAGAGGGGAAAGUGAGGAAGUGAGGAGCAUGGAGACAAGCGGCAAGGAAUAGAUGGUGGCUGGAGGCAGCCGGGAAGAAUAGUAGCUGCAGAUUAUGGAGCAUUAAAACGUGCGGGUGCGUUUCCAAAGCUUUACGCGUAUACCCGCGUAUACUCGCGUUUCAUCUUAAGCCGAUCAGCUCAUCUUGGUUUGCUUAUGACUUUCCCAGUUUUAUCCCUGAAAGCCCCGAGAAGCCCCUCAGUCCCUGACCAGCUCUAUUUCAUCUUCACAAAAACAAAUGGUCUUAGCUGCUGUUAUCCUCCUCCUUUUAUAGACGUGGAAGUGGAGGCACAGAGAAGCUAAGUAACUUGCCCGGCGUCCCACAGGUAAGUGGCAGAGCCGGUACUCAAACCCAAGUCGUUGGAUUCCAGAGUCCUCACCCUUCUGUGUUGCCUUUUACAGGGUCUGGUGAAUUUUAAUUGUUGGUUUAAACCUUUUUCUUCCUUUCUGAAAUGCAUCAUUUUCAGGGGGAGCAGAAAGCAUGCCUGUGCCCUUUUCCUCCUGCCCUGAGACAAUCCUACAGGUGAAAAUUCAGGGAAGAGUCAGGUUGCAAAGCUUGUUGCCUUCUAGGAGACUUCCAGAAACGUGAUGCCCUCCAGGGGAUCUGCCCCACAGCCCCAGCAGCUGAUCAGAAUUCCUCAGGGGAUUUUUUAAGGAGGAGGGAGCGUGGUUAACCAUGGAGAAGAGUUUCCAAAAUGAAAAUAAACCAACAAACAACCCAACGUGUCAACGGAGAUCCAGUGACUGAGGCUUAUUAAGUUUAACACUGGGGAGGGGAGAGCGGGAUCAUUUAUAGAAAUCCUUUCUCCCUCAGGAGAUAUUUAAGAAGAGAACAUAUUUUUAAAAAUUUAAAGCAAAGCCAAGUUUAUGUAAAAUUAUACCAAUGAUGACAGAGGCUUGAGAACAACAGCAAAGCCAGCCAAAGUUGAUGCCCACGACUUUAUACUCCUGGGAAACACGGAAGAAGGAAGCCAAGAGCAGGAAACUGGGCUGAUAGGGAGCACAGCGGGGGCGGGGACGGGCCCGGGCCAGGUCCUGGCUGGUGGCCUCUGGGUGGGAAGGGCUUGGCCAGGGGACCUCACCUUCUGCCUCUAAAAUGGGACACCCAGAGGAGCUGCUUCAGAGGGUCGUAGUGAGGAUGCUGCCAGCUUAUAAGUGUCUCGCGAAACACUUUCUGGCACAUGGCAAGUGCCGGAUAAAUGGUGUCUGUUAUGGUCAGGACCCUGCUGGUCUCCACUUUGGCCCGUGAGCAGGAAGAGCCACAAGCUGGUCCCCAUCAGAGGCUCGCUCUGUGUCAGCCUGGGCUCAGCCCGUUCUAUGCGCAUCCUGUUAUCCAGUCCUCACGUUAACCCGUUAACCCGUGCAGUGUGAUUGUCAUUCCAUUUACAGAUGUGCAGACGGAGGCUUAAGAGGAGAAAAUAGUUUGCCGUAAAGAUUUACACCAGGAGGAAGGAGCAUAGACUGGGAGGAGGACCCAGGCCUAUGCUGACGCUGUUUUCUACUGUACAACUUUGCAGGGAAAACUUACAAAAUAAAAUCAGAUGGAAUUUUUUCUAAUUCCAGGUACCUUUAAGUAUAAAGAAGAGCCAUUUGCUUCUGGAAAGUGCCAGGGGGAAUUUUCAAGAUGGAGCAAGGUGUACGGGCAGCCUUCUUGAUCAGGGAGUGUUUGCUCAUCUCCAGAGGCAAAAACUUGAGGCCGAAGCUGUUUCCUGCCAGCCAAGAGCUUAAGGCAGCCUCGAGGAGCCCGUGCCCUAGGCUGAGUCCUGCUCUCGCCUCGAUUUCAGCACUGGAGUGAGUGUGUCCGAUUAUAACUGGACAUUUGUGCGUGUGGCCUCCUGUUUCCUGUGACUAGUUCAGGAAGGUGCAGUUACGUGUAGGGAGCGAAGCACAGGCUUGCAGGUGGCCGGCUGGGGUUCCAAUCGUAGCCCUGCUCCGACUUUGUGACUUGGGGCGUGGUGCUUAGCCUCUCCGCGCCCAGCUUCCACAUCUUGGCCCUAACAACCGUGUCACAGAGCGACUGUGAAGACAAAAUGAGAAUAAUGUGUGUGGAAGGCCCUGGGGAGCUGUUCGUUUCCUUCUCGGUCCUUCUCCAGCGGAGAGGAAGAGGAUGGGGAUUUGUGGCCGAGGCGUCCAACAGAGGGCGCUGUGCGAGCUGGAAGCGGGAGGCAGGCGCCGGAGCACUAGCGGAAGCUCCGACCCUGCUAAUUCAUUCCUAGAAUUUGGAUUAGAUUGAGGUCAGAGUCAUUUUACUUACCGCGGCACUGUCUGAGCAAUGUUAAGUUGACCUUCAGAGUGAUGUGCAAAGAUGAUGUUUCCGUGCGUUCGGAGGUCAUUUAAGGAUAAGAGCUGGCCACGUACCAAGAUUCCACGGACACUCCUUACACUCCACUCUCUUUCUGAACUCCGCGUCUCCCAAAUAUCAACUUUUGUCUUCCGCUUCUCUGUCUCCCGUGUAACCCAGCUCUGUUAAUGGCAUCAAUUUCCCGGCUCGUGCAGGCCCACGUCUCUGUUUUGAACCCUCUC
Microcebus murinus (gray mouse lemur) is the source of this 2970-nucleotide non-coding RNA. The record is from RefSeq and is a predicted model, not a curated record. Lineage: Eukaryota; Metazoa; Chordata; Mammalia; Primates; Cheirogaleidae.